AUACGAAGGGUGCAAGCGUUACUCGGAAUUACUGGGCGUAAAGCGUGCGUAGGUGGUUGUUUAAGUCUGUCGUGAAAGCCCUGGGCUCAACCUGGGAAUGGCGAUGGAAACUGGGCGACUAGAGUGUGGCAGAGGGUAGUGGAAUUCCUGGUGUAGCAGUGAAAUGCGUAGAGAUCAGGAGGAACAUCCGUGGCGAAGGCGACUGCCUGGGACAACACUGACACUGAGGCACGAAAGCGUGGGGAGCAAACAGGAUUAGAGACCCUGGUAGUCCACGCCCUAAACGAUGCGAACUGGAUGUUGGGUGCAAUUUGGCACGCAGUAUCGAAGCUAACGCGUUAAGUUCGCCGCCUGGGGAGUACGGUCGCAAGACUGAAACUCAAAGGAAUUGACGGGG
This 397-nucleotide ribosomal RNA is filed under the name uncultured bacterium. Its description in RNAcentral is "partial 16S ribosomal RNA". It matches the Rfam family "Bacterial small subunit ribosomal RNA", at positions 523 to 918 of the family's 1533-position model. The record is from RNAcentral.